This 86-nucleotide transfer RNA is filed under the name Alphaproteobacteria bacterium. RNAcentral describes it as "tRNA-Leu". It matches the Rfam family "tRNA". From Rfam's summary of the family: Transfer RNA (tRNA) molecules are approximately 80 nucleotides in length. Their secondary structure includes four short double-helical elements and three loops (D, anti-codon, and T loops). The record is from RNAcentral. Lineage: Bacteria; Pseudomonadati; Pseudomonadota; Alphaproteobacteria.
GCGGGCGUGGCGGAAUGGUAGACGCAACGGACUUAAAAUCCGUUUUUCGCAAGAGAGUGUGGGUUCGAGUCCCACCGCCCGCACCA